AACGAACGCUGGCGGCACGCCUAACACAUGCAAGUCGAACGCGACCUUACUCUUCGGAGUAAGAGAGAGUGGCGGACGGGUGAGUAACGCGUGGGAACCUGCCUUGCAGUAAGGGAUAACUUCGGGAAACCGAAGCUAAUACCGUAUACGCCCUUUUGGGGAAAGAUUUAUCGCUGUAAGAUGGGCCCGCGUUAGAUUAGGUAGUUGGUAGGGUAAUGGCCUACCAAGCCGAUGAUCUAUAGCUGGUUUGAGAGGAUGAUCAGCCACACUGGGACUGAGACACGGCCCAGACUCCUACGGGAGGCAGCAGUGGGGAAUAUUGGACAAUGGGGGCAACCCUGAUCCAGCGAUGCCGCGUGAGUGAAGAAGGCCUUCGGGUUGUAAAACUCUUUCACCUGUGAAGAUGAUGACUGUAACAGGAGAAGAAGCACCGGCUAACUCCG
RNAcentral lists this ribosomal RNA (443 nucleotides) under uncultured Rickettsiales bacterium. Its description in RNAcentral is "bacterial SSU rRNA". It matches the Rfam family "Bacterial small subunit ribosomal RNA", at positions 29 to 505 of the family's 1533-position model. The record is from RNAcentral. Lineage: Bacteria; Pseudomonadati; Pseudomonadota; Alphaproteobacteria; Rickettsiales.